Mirounga angustirostris (Northern elephant seal) is the source of this 2988-nucleotide long non-coding RNA. RefSeq lists it as uncharacterized. The record is from RefSeq and is a predicted model, not a curated record. NCBI's taxonomy places the organism in Eukaryota, Metazoa, Chordata, Mammalia, Carnivora, Phocidae. The transcript is spliced from 4 exons.
GGUCCGGAACCAUGGCAGCCAUCUUGGGCCCAUAAGGGGAGAUACCUGAGGAAAACAUGCUGAGGAUGGCAACGCUGACGAUGAAGCAAACUGGAGUCCUUCACAAAGUCACUGAGCUCGUGACUUAGCCUGGAGCUUCCCUACGUCAGAACUUCUAGUGAGGAGUGUCUGGUGACCUGAGGACCCCUCCCAGCCCCACGGAAUGGAGUGAGCAUGGAGGGUCUGUGCUUUGUCAGUAACAACCGUCUGGUCUCCGGGAAACUUCCCCGAUCCUCAGAACAAAGCUCAAGAAUGUCCACAAGCAGCCACGUCCAUCCGAUGUCUGCCGGAGACCCGCUGUCAAUGCACGAAGUGCAAAGCUUCAAAAUACAUGAAGAAACCCAGUGGAAUCAGAAGGGAAGUCAGCACAUCCUCUGAGGUGCCCAAAGCUGUGCAUUGGAGAUCACGGGCAGCAGAAGACAGAGCCAGGGAAGUGGCAGCGUCCGAACGGAGACCCUGGCCAGGAGAGAAAGGGCUGGAAGCAAGAGCUCACAUGGAGAGCAACCGUCAGACUCCAUCUAGGGGAGGCCCCGUGGAGAGAGGAUCGCCGUGGGCCGGGACCCCAGGUAAGUCCGGCGUCAGCCCCGGGAAGAUGCGUGAGGACAGAGGUGGGAGAGGCCAGAGGGCAGGUCUUCUCACACGGGACCAGCAGGAGCCCUCCUUGCAGCUGGUGCGUGGCGCCUGUGAUCGCAUGUGGUCCUGCUGUCCACACACACAGCUGGCCAUUUCUGUGUCCUCACCUGUCCGGGUCAGCAGAGCAUGGCAGCCCCCCACCUGGGAGGAACGUCCAUGAGCGCCCCACUGACUCGCACAUCCCGCAGAGCACAAGAAAGCACCUGCCCAGCUCGCCCUUUGAUGCCAGAGGCGUUUACGGCCUCUGACAGCAAUAACCGAGGACGGUGUUUUCAUUCCAUGACAUCAAUUUCAAAAGGUUAGGAAUGUGCCUGGAACGUCCCCCAGAGAGCUCACGACGGGUCUAUCGUCCGUGAACUCACAGGGCUAGACCCACAAGGAUCUGGCCCCAGCCCCAGCCCCGGCCCCUCCUUCUGAGUGUUUGUGAGCCCGCGACACGGCCUCUCCAAGUCCAGUCCCGGGCCUGGCUUUGCCACUCCUUGCCCACAGGACCUCAGACAGGUGCGUCUCUCCAAGUUCAUAGUGUCCACGUGCAGAGUGCCACGCCAGGUGCCACGCCGGGAACAUGACCUCUGCCACCAGCAGUCUCAGGGGCAAAGCUUGGUUCUUCUGCUUGCUCACUGAGUGGGAAGCAUGGUGGGCUUUCCUCUCAGACUACAUCUUUGCUUUCACCUCUGCAAAAUGGGGAUAAUAAAGCACGCAUCAUGUAGGAUUUGGGGAAACGGAAGGAGAUAAGCAGGGAAUGUUAGCCCAGUGCCUGGUGCCGGGACCCCACCUUCACCAUUCCAUGUGUUCGUCCUAGAACCUGCUCCCAGGCAGGUGUGCUCAAGCCUGGAGGCGUGACCCAGUCCCCCCCACCCAACAAUACCGUCACUGUGCAUUCCCGAGCCACCCACACGCAGGAAGGUCUAGAAGUCAGCUUCUCAAGAAAGAGCAGCUGAAAUGCGUAAACCCCGCAAAACAACCACCAAAGGCCAAGAGCUGUUGGAGGAAUGGCACAUAGCCCAGCCUUAUUUCUGAGCUUCCUGACAGCCCCAGCAAGAAGGGAAGGGGACACGCUCUCAGCUGAUCAAAGAGGCACCGUAACCUAGCCGGGGCCUCAUUCCUCCCUCGGACGUGACUCCAGGAAAAAAUCUAUGAGGUGUUCAUAGAAGCGACAUUGGAAAGCGUAAAGGUGACGCCUUGGAGAGUACAUCGGCCAGAGAGGACAGGGGGACCGGCAGGCUGGGGGAGGGGGUCAGUGGCGCACAUUCAGCAUGGCUAUGUAGCUGAGCCAAGGACCGGGACGUUUCUGAGUGUGAAAGAGGAGUCACUAACAAUGAGAGCGAAACAGGCAUGAACAGGGACUGCCCCGUGCAGGUGAGAGCCGUGGCCACCAGCGGCCGCUUCUUCCAUCCCCCUGUGUUCAGUGAGGGGGGCAGAGCUUUUUAAGAGGUAGGGCAGUAAAGUGUUCGUGUGUGUGGCUUUUUAGUGAUUUAACCUAAUGGCAACAUCUAAUCCUUGUAAGAGAUAAACACAGCAGGGUUGGCAGGCACUCUUGGGCUGGGGAAUGGCGCCAGGCCCGCCAUGAUCCACCACGUCUGCAAUGAUGGCCACAAAGAGAUUUUGUGUGAGGCUUCCCACACAUGAGGCUCAGGGUUACGCAAGCCACUGACCUUCCAGAUACCCUUCUCAUUCAGCGAGCAUUUGGAUGCCCAUUCCAAGAAUGCUGGGCAUGAUUCUCUUUGCUCGGCACAGCCGAUGUGCUCUUGCUAACCCCAGUAUUUUUCCUACUUUAACUCCUGUCCGUGUCUGGGGGUGGGGGGAGAAGGACACGAAGUUCCGCUUUCUUCUGGAAAAAUAAGAUCAGAAAUAACACUUGCUCUUUUAAGAAUGGUCGGCAUCUUCUGAGCUUGAGCCAGCAGGGCUAAAGGACCCAGGGAAGCACUUCAGAGAAAAUUCAUUCUGAUUUCCUUUCCACCAUCCCAUGGGCUCAUCAUAUCAUGAUGUGACUUUCUCUGCUCUGGAGGCAGGAUGGUCCCCUAACAUGAGAGAGGAAACCAAAGUGAAGAUGGGGCACCACCAUGGGCUCGCAGGGGGCCUCGGGCAUCGCUGUAUCCACCCUGCCCCUUGGAAAUGGGGAAACUGAGCCAAGUGACAGAGCCAGAAAGCGAGACCGCAGUUCUUAGUGCCCCGUCUGAGGUUAUGAAUGGAUGCCGGGGGGACUCCGAGCCCCCGUGUCCACCAGCCCUUGCUCCCCAACCCCGUCGGCCAGUGUCACCCCCACCAUCCGGCCAGGGUUCCCAUCCUGCUCAGAUCAGACCCCCGAGAGCAUCG